AGAUUGAACGCUGGCGGCAGGCCUAACACAUGCAAGUCGAGCGGCAGCACGGGUACUUGUACCUGGUGGCGAGCGGCGGACGGGUGAGUAAUGCCUAGGAAUCUGCCUGAUAGUGGGGGGAUAACGUUCGGAAACGGACGCUAAUACCGCAUACGUCCUACGGGAGAAAGUGGGGGAUCUUCGGACCUCACGCUAUCAGAUGAGCCUAGGUCGGAUUAGCUAGUUGGUAGGGUAAAGGCCUACCAAGGCUACGAUCCGUAACUGGUCUGAGAGGAUGAUCAGUCACACUGGAACUGAGACACGGUCCAGACUCCUACGGGAGGCAGCAGUGGGAAUAUUGGACAAUGGGCGAAAGCCUGAUCCAGCCAUGCCGCGUGUGUGAAGAAGGUCUUCGGAUUGUAAAGCACUUUAAGUUGGAGAAGGCAUUAACCUAAUACGUUAGUUGUUUUAGACGUUACCGACAGAAUUAAGCUACCGGCUAACUCUGUGCCAGCAGCCGACG
This 502-nucleotide ribosomal RNA is filed under the name uncultured soil bacterium. Its description in RNAcentral is "bacterial SSU rRNA". It matches the Rfam family "Bacterial small subunit ribosomal RNA", at positions 26 to 519 of the family's 1533-position model. The record is from RNAcentral.